Molecule: ribosomal RNA, 860 nt
Filed under: uncultured marine bacterium
Lineage: Bacteria
Description: bacterial SSU rRNA
Rfam family: Bacterial small subunit ribosomal RNA
Source: RNAcentral
AGAGUUUGAUCCUGGCUCAGAACGAACGCUGGCGGCAGGCCUAACACAUGCAAGUCGAGCGCGCCUUUCGGGUGAGCGGCGGACGGGUUAGUAACGCGUGGGAACGUGCCCUUCUCUACGGAAUAGCCUCUGGAAACGGAGAGUAAUACCGUAUACGCCCUUUGGGGGAAAGAUUUAUCGGAGAAGGAUCGGCCCGCGUUAGAUUAGGUAGUUGGUGGGGUAACGGCCUACCAAGCCUACGAUCUAUAGCUGGUUUUAGAGGAUGAUCAGCAACACUGGGACUGAGACACGGCCCAGACUCCUACGGGAGGCAGCAGUGGGGAAUCUUAGACAAUGGGGGCAACCCUGAUCUAGCCAUGCCGCGUGAGUGAUGAAGGCCUUAGGGUCGUAAAGCUCUUUCGCCUGUGAUGAUAAUGACAGUAGCAGGUAAAGAAACCCCGGCUAACUCCGUGCCAGCAGCCGCGGUAAUACGGAGGGGGUUAGCGUUGUUCGGAAUUACUGGGCGUAAAGCGCGCGUAGGCGGAUUAGAAAGUUGGGGGUGAAAUCCCGGGGCUCAACCCCGGAACUGCCUCCAAAACUGCUAGUCUAGAGUUCGAGAGAGGUGAGUGGAAUUCCGAGUGUAGAGGUGAAAUUCGUAGAUAUUCGGAGGAACACCAGUGGCGAAGGCGGCUCACUGGCUCGAUACUGACGCUGAGGUGCGAAAGUGUGGGGAGCAAACAGGAUUAGAUACCCUGGUAGUCCACACCGUAAACGAUGAAUGCCAGUCGUCGGGUAGUAUACUAUUCGGUGACACACCUAACGGAUUAAGCAUUCCGCCUGGGGAGUACGGUCGCAAGAUUAAAACUCAAAGGAAUUGACGG